Long non-coding RNA from Archocentrus centrarchus (flier cichlid), 1046 nucleotides. RefSeq lists it as uncharacterized. The record is from RefSeq and is a predicted model, not a curated record. Lineage: Eukaryota; Metazoa; Chordata; Actinopteri; Cichliformes; Cichlidae. The transcript is spliced from 5 exons.
AUAACGCGAGGAAUAAGAAGUCCAUAUUUUCCUAGCUAAAGCUUACACCGAGCUUGAAGAAGGUGCUGUUUGCCACAGCGCUGGGCAGUGUAGCUCUAGCUCUCACUGCUCAUCAGUUAAAAAGGCGAGGAAGGAAGAGGAAGCAGGAAACAGAAUGCUGUUCUUUUGGGACCACCCGCUUCGAAUGUUAUUAGUCCAUUAAAUGAAUGUUGACUGAUAACAUUCGGAGCCGGUGUUUGGGACAGGCCCGUUUACUGGCCGACAGGUGAUGAGUCCCAGUACUCGAAGCAAUGACACCAUGAGUGGAAUUUCUUCCCUGGCUCCAAGUAAACAUUCAAGUUCAUCACACAGCCUGGCGUCCAUGCGAGUCCCAAGCUCUCCAAAUCAGUCUGCCAAUCCAUCCACCCCCUGGGAUGCAGAGCCUGUGGUGGAAGAGUCAGGGGCAGUAGAGGACGCUAAUGCAGAGAAUCUCUACUUAAUGGGGUGAAGCUCGUAAUAAAGUGUUUGCUGAGAAGUUAGAGACAUUACUGCACAGAGCGUAUCACCUACAGGAGGAUUUUGGGAGCAGUAUCCCAGCAGACAACGUGCUGGCAGACUUUGGUAAUAUUUCCAUGUUACCUAUCAAGAGAAGUGAGGAGGACAUAGCAAGAGAAGUGAGGAGGUUAAGAAAACAAAGGAAAAUGAUUGGAACAUGGACAAGGAAUGGGAACGUGUGGAUCCGAGACCAUCAAUGAAGAUAAUAAAAAGAAAUGACAGAAGGAAGACCCGGGAGGAUGAAACCUGCACCUGAGAGGGGCCGGCGGUUUAAGGACGACGGUUCACGGAAGGAACCAGAAAGUGAAGGAACUCUAAUCUUGCCUCAAGUGGAGAGUUUCCACAGACUGCAGGAGGACGAUGCCACUACUGUCACUUCUGAUGAGUCCUUCUUCUCGGCUGCAGAGCUGUUAGAUGCCAUGUCUCUAGGGGAGGUCUAUCAGCCUCUUAAGCCAGCAGCCCUAUAUGAAGAAGCCUUGUCUCUGGUCCAUGACGAUAAAGUGGCCUAUAGG